RNAcentral lists this ribosomal RNA (799 nucleotides) under uncultured bacterium. RNAcentral's name for it is "bacterial SSU rRNA". It matches the Rfam family "Bacterial small subunit ribosomal RNA", at positions 8 to 808 of the family's 1533-position model. The record is from RNAcentral.
AGAGUUUGAUCAUGGCUCAGAACGAACGCUGGCGGCGUGCUUAACACAUGCAAGUCGCGUGCGCAGUUCCGUAGCAAUACGGGGCAGGCGCACGGCGCACGGGUGCGUAACACGUGGGCAAUCUGCCCUCCGAUGGGGAAUAACCCCGCGAAAGCGGGGCUAAUACCGCAUAACAUUCCUUGAGCGACGGUUCGAGGAUUCAAAGCAGUAAUGCGUCGGAGGAGAGCCCGCGCCCGAUUAGCUAGUUGGUGAGGUAACGGCUCACCAAGGCAAUGAUCGGUAGCUGGUCUGAGAGGAUGAUCAGCCACACUGGAACUGAGACACGGUCCAGACUCCUACGGGAGGCAGCAGUGGGGAAUCUUGCACAAUGGGCGAAAGCCUGAUGCAGCGACGCCGCGUGGGGGAUGAAGCUUUUCGGAGUGUAAACCCCUUUCGCCUGGGACGAAUGCCCGCAAGGGAGUGACGGUACCAGGAUAAGAAGCCCCGGCUAACUACGUGCCAGCAGCCGCGGUAAGACGUAGGGGGCCAGCGUUGUUCGGAAUUACUGGGUGUAAAGGGUUCGUAGGCGGUGUGGCAAGUUGGGAGUGAAAUCUCUGGGCUCAACCCAGAGGCUGCUUCCAAAACUGCUGUGCUUGAGUGUGAGAGAGGCUCGUGGAAUUGCAGGUGUAGCGGUGAAAUGCGUAGAUAUCUGCAGGAACACCCGUGGCGAAAGCGGCGAGCUGGAUCACUACUGACGCUGAGGAACGAAAGCUAGGGGAGCAAACAGGAUUAGAUACCCUGGUAGUCCUAGCCCUAAACG